GUGGGGAAUUUUGGACAAUGGGGGAAACCCUGAUCCAGCCAUGCCGCGUGCGGGAUGAAGGCCUUCGGGUUGUAAACCGCUUUUGUCAGAGACGAAAAGGGACGUACGAAUAAUACGUUCCGCUGACGGUAUCUGAAGAAUAAGCACCGGCUAACUACGUGCCAGCAGCCGCGGUAAUACGUAGGGUGCAAGCGUUAAUCGGAAUUACUGGGCGUAAAGGGUGCGCAGGCGGCUGUGCAAGACAGAUGUGAAAUCCCCGGGCUUAACCUGGGAACUGCAUUUGUGACUGCACGGCUAGAGUUUGUCAGAGGAGGGUGGAAUUCCGCGUGUAGCAGUGAAAUGCGUAGAUAUGCGGAAGAACACCAAUGGCGAAGGCAGCCCUCUGGGACAUGACUGACGCUCAUGCACGAAAGCGUGGGGAGCAAACAGGAUUAGAAACCCCGGUAGUCC
This 450-nucleotide ribosomal RNA is filed under the name uncultured bacterium. RNAcentral describes it as "partial 16S ribosomal RNA". It matches the Rfam family "Bacterial small subunit ribosomal RNA", at positions 354 to 796 of the family's 1533-position model. The record is from RNAcentral.